Molecule: ribosomal RNA, 468 nt
Filed under: uncultured bacterium
Lineage: Bacteria
Description: partial 16S ribosomal RNA
Rfam family: Bacterial small subunit ribosomal RNA
Source: RNAcentral
GACGAACGCUGGCGGCGUGCUUAAUACAUGCAAGUCGAACGGAAAGACCCUGCUUUUGUUGGUUUCUCGAGUGGCGAACGGGUGAGUAACACGUGUGUAUACUGUACUUGACUUUGGGGUAACUUCAGGGAAAUGGGGCUAAUAUAGGGUAGGAGCUCCUGCUGCAUGGUGGGGGUUGGUAAGUUACGGCGUUGGGGGAUGGACUAGAGGCUUAUGCGCUUGUUGGUGGGGUAGUGGCUUACGAAGGCUUUGACGGGUAGGCGGCCUGAGAGGGGGACCGGCCACAAUGCGCCUACGAGACGCACCAGACGCCUACGGGAGGCAGCAGGCGAGAAUAUUGCACAAUGGGCCGGCGCCUGAUGUGGCAACGCCGCGAGCGGGAUGAUGGCUUUCGAGUGAUAAACCAAUUUCGCAUGAGAUGAAGAGUGAGUGACGGUAAUGGGUAAAGAAGCCCCGGCUAACUACGUG